Molecule: ribosomal RNA, 430 nt
Filed under: Acidobacteriota bacterium
Lineage: Bacteria; Pseudomonadati; Acidobacteriota
Description: Acidobacteria bacterium partial 16S ribosomal RNA
Rfam family: Bacterial small subunit ribosomal RNA
Source: RNAcentral
UGGGGAAUAUUGGACAAUGGGCGAAAGCCUGAUCCAGCCAUGCCGCGUGUGUGAAGAAGGCCUUUUGGUUGUAAAGCACUUUAAGCGAGGAGGAGGCUACUUGGAUUAAUACUCUAGGAUAGUGGACGUUACUCGCAGAAUAAGCACCGGCUAACUCUGUGCCAGCAGCCGCGGUAAUACAGAGGGUGCGAGCGUUAAUCGGAUUUACUGGGCGUAAAGCGUGCGUAGGCGGCUUCUUAAGUCGGAUGUGAAAUCCCUGAGCUUAACUUAGGAAUUGCAUUCGAUACUGGGAAGCUAGAGUAUGGGAGAGGAUGGUAGAAUUCCAGGUGUAGCGGUGAAAUGCGUAGAGAUCUGGGGGAAUACCGAUGGCGAAGGCAGCCAUCUGGACUAAUACUGACGCUGAGGUACGAAAGCAUGGGGAGCAAACAGG